CCUACGGGUGGCAGCAGUGGGGAAUAUUGGACAAUGGGCGAAAGCCUGAUCCAGCCAUGCCGCGUGUGUGAAGAAGGCCUUCGGGUUGUAAAGCACUUUCAGUGGGGAAGAAAGCCUUGGGGCUAAUACCCUCGAGGAAGGACAUCACCCACAGAAGAAGCACCGGCUAACUCCGUGCCAGCAGCCGCGGUAAUACGGAGGGUGCGAGCGUUAAUCGGAAUCACUGGGCGUAAAGCGCGCGUAGGCGGUCUGAUAAGCCGGUUGUGAAAGCCCCGGGCUCAACCUGGGAACGGCAUCCGGAACUGUCAGGCUAGAGUGCAGGAGAGGAAGGUAGAAUUCCCGGUGUAGCGGUGAAAUGCGUAGAGAUCGGGAGGAAUACCAGUGGCGAAGGCGGCCUUCUGGACUGACACUGACGCUGAGGUGCGAAAGCGUGGGUAGCAAACAGGAUUAGAUACCCCGGUAGUC
Molecule: ribosomal RNA, 465 nt
Filed under: Vreelandella stevensii
Lineage: Bacteria; Pseudomonadati; Pseudomonadota; Gammaproteobacteria; Oceanospirillales; Halomonadaceae
Description: partial 16S ribosomal RNA
Rfam family: Bacterial small subunit ribosomal RNA
Source: RNAcentral